GACGAACGCUGGCGGCGUGCUUAACACAUGCAAGUCGAACGGAAAGGCCCUGCUUUUGUGGGGUGCUCGAGUGGCGAACGGGUGAGUAACACGUGAGUAACCUGUCCUUGUCUUUGGGAUAACUUCAGGAAACUGGGGCUAAUACCGGAUAGGAGCUCCUGCUGCAUGGUGGGGGUUGGAAAGUUUCGGCGGUUGGGGAUGGACUCGCGGCUUAUCAGCUUGUUGGUGGGGUAGUGGCUUACCAAGGCUUUGACGGGUAGCCGGCCUGAGAGGGUGACCGGCCACAUUGGGACUGAGAUACGGCCCAGACUCCUACGGGAGGCAGCAGUGGGGAAUAUUGCACAAUGGGCGGAAGCCUGAUGCAGCAACGCCGCGUGCGGGAUGACGGCCUUCGGGUUGUAAACCGCUUUCGCCUGUGACGAAGCGUGAGUGACGGUAAUGGGUAAAGAAGCACCGGCUAACUACGUG
RNAcentral lists this ribosomal RNA (468 nucleotides) under uncultured bacterium. RNAcentral's name for it is "partial 16S ribosomal RNA". It matches the Rfam family "Bacterial small subunit ribosomal RNA", at positions 28 to 507 of the family's 1533-position model. The record is from RNAcentral.